This 400-nucleotide ribosomal RNA is filed under the name uncultured bacterium. RNAcentral's name for it is "bacterial SSU rRNA". It matches the Rfam family "Bacterial small subunit ribosomal RNA", at positions 48 to 500 of the family's 1533-position model. The record is from RNAcentral.
CUAACACAUGCAAGUCUAACGGACGCAGCAAUGCGUCAGUGGCAGACGGGGAGUAACACGUGGGAACGUACCCUUCGGUUCGGAACAACCCAGGGAAACUGGGCUAAUACCGGAUACGUCCGUAAGGAGAAAGAUUUAUCGCCGAAGGACGGCCCGCGUCCGAUUAGCUUGUUGGUGAGGUAAUGGCUCACCAGGGCACGAUCGGUAGCUGGUCUACCAGGAUGAUCAGCCUCACUGGGACUGAGAACGGGCCAGACUCCUACGGGAGGCAGCAGUGGGGAAUAUUGGACAAUGGCGCAAGCCUGAUCCAGCCAUGCCGCGUGGGUGAUGAAGGCCCUACGGUUUAAAGCCCUUUCAGCGGGGAAGAUAAUGAGGGUACCCGCACAAGAAGCCCGGCUAA